This 433-nucleotide ribosomal RNA is filed under the name uncultured bacterium. RNAcentral describes it as "partial 16S ribosomal RNA". It matches the Rfam family "Bacterial small subunit ribosomal RNA", at positions 29 to 507 of the family's 1533-position model. The record is from RNAcentral.
AACGAACGCUGGCGGCAUGCCUAACACAUGCAAGUCGAACGAGACCUUCGGGUCUAGUGGCGCACGGGUGCGUAACGCGUGGGAACCUGCCCUUAGGUUCGGAAUAACUCCCCGAAAGGGGUGCUAAUACCGGAUAAUGUCUUCGGACCAAAGAUUUAUCGCCUUUGGAUGGGCCCGCGUUGGAUUGGCUAGUUGGUAGGGUAAAAGCCUACCAAGGCGACGAUCCAUAGCUGGUCUGAGAGGAUGAUCAGCCACACUGGGAGUGAGACACGGCCCAGACUCCUACGGGAGGAAGCAGUGGGGAAUAUUGGACAAUGGGCGAAAGCCUGAUCCAGCAAGGACGCGUGAGUGAUGAAGGCCGUAGGGUUGUAAAGCUCUCUUACCCGGGAUGAUAAUGACAGUACCGGGAGAAUAAGCUCCGGCUAACUCCGUG